This 360-nucleotide RNase P RNA is filed under the name Entomomonas asaccharolytica. RNAcentral describes it as "Bacterial RNase P class A". It matches the Rfam family "Bacterial RNase P class A". Rfam says of the family: Ribonuclease P (RNase P) is a ubiquitous endoribonuclease, found in archaea, bacteria and eukarya as well as chloroplasts and mitochondria. Its best characterised activity is the generation of mature 5'-ends of tRNAs by cleaving the 5'-leader elements of precursor-tRNAs. Lineage: Bacteria; Pseudomonadati; Pseudomonadota; Gammaproteobacteria; Pseudomonadales; Pseudomonadaceae. The record is from Rfam by way of RNAcentral.
AGAGCCGGUCAAACAGUCGCUGCUUUUUAUAACAUGUUUAUAAAAAGGGGAGGAAAGUCCGGGCUCCAUAGGGCAAAGUGCCAGGUAACGCCUGGGAGGUGAAAGCCUACGGAAAGUGCCGCAGAAAAUAACCGCCUAAGUAGCAUAUGCUAACGGUAAGGGUGAAAAGGUGUGGUAAGAGCGCACCGCACAACUGGUAACAGUUUGUGGCUAGGUAAACCCCACUUGGAGCAAGACCAAAUAGGAAUCCUAAGCGUGGCCCGCGUUGGAUUCGGGUAGGUUGCUAAAGAUGUCCAGUGAUGGCCAUCGUAGAUGAAUGACUGUUCGCGACAGAACCCGGCUUAUCGACUGGCUCUUGCU